AGAGUUUGAUCCUGGCUCAGAAUGAACGCUGGCGGCGUGCCUAACACAUGCAAGUCGUACGAGAAAGGGGCUUCGGCCCUGAGUAGAGUGGCGCACGGGUGAGUAACGCGUGGGUAAUCUACCCUUGGAUUUGGGAUAACUCUGCGAAAGUGGAGCUAAUACCGGAUAGUCUGGCUUUUAAUAGAAGUCGGUAAAGGAUGCCUCUGCAUAUGCAUUCGUCCGAGGAUGAGCCCGCGUCUCAUUAGCUAGUUGGUAGGGUAAUGGCCUACCAAGGCAACGAUGGGUAGCUGGUCUGAGAGGAUGAUCAGCCACACUGGGACUGAGACACGGCCCAGACUCCUACGGGAGGCAGCAGUGAGGAAUAUUGGACAAUGGGCGAAAGCCUGAUCCAGCCAUGCCGCGUGCAGGAUGAAGGCCUUCGGGUUGUAAACUGCUUUUGUACGGAACGAAAAGACUCCUUCUAAUAAAGGGGGUCCAUGACGGUACCGUAAGAAUAAGCACCGGCUAACUACGUGCCAGCAGCCGCGGUAAUA
Molecule: ribosomal RNA, 533 nt
Filed under: uncultured bacterium
Lineage: Bacteria
Description: bacterial SSU rRNA
Rfam family: Bacterial small subunit ribosomal RNA
Source: RNAcentral